RNAcentral lists this long non-coding RNA (354 nucleotides) under Ananas comosus (pineapple). Its description in RNAcentral is "long non-coding RNA (ACOM_LNC033048)". The record is from RNAcentral. Lineage: Eukaryota; Viridiplantae; Streptophyta; Magnoliopsida; Poales; Bromeliaceae.
ACUCACUUUUGGAGUUGCUUGUUGCGGCGUUUCGGAUCUAAUUAAGCUUUGGUCUUUUGAGAGAUUUUCUUUGUACUCCGCCUUUUCGACAUUAAUAAAGUAUUUGCUCCGUCUUCACCCAUGGACGUAGGCCGUUGGCCGAACCACGUAAAUAUCAGUGUGCUCUUUCCGCUUAUCUUUUCUUUUCUUGCAUUAAAUUAUUUUCUGGAUCUAUUUUUCGUCGUUCCGAUUUUUAACAAACCAUAGGAUACUAAAAUAAAAAAAUACGAAACCACAGGGGUGGUAUUUGAAGUUUUUCCAAAAAAAUUAUACUAGAUGAACUUGAUUUCCGUCAAUCAGUACGCAUAUCUUUAG